UGGCUGAACAUCUCCUUAGGGAAAAAUGAUAUGUUAGGCCUCAUUUAAUCUCACAACUCUGAGAUUUCCAAUAAGAAAACUAGAGAUUACAUAAUUUAACUGAUUUUCUCAAGAUCAUGUAACUAGUAAGAAGUCUUAUUUUCUGUGUUACUCUAUACUCAAAAACUAACAUUCAAAAUAAUGUCUUUGACUUCUAUUGACAUUUAAAACAGUAACAAUCAAAAUAAUCUAUGCCUGUAAAUUCCGUAUUCUGCCACCAGGUGAUAACAGAACCCUGGUCCUAUGAGGAUUACAAGGGAAACAUUUUGUCUACAUUAUUUCGUGCAUGUGCUAUUCCAUUCUCCAGGCUUGGAAGUGGU
This 359-nucleotide long non-coding RNA is filed under the name Pan troglodytes (chimpanzee). RNAcentral's name for it is "long non-coding RNA NONPTRT001029". Lineage: Eukaryota; Metazoa; Chordata; Mammalia; Primates; Hominidae. The record is from RNAcentral.